CGUUCGUAGUUGAAUUUGUGCUUCAUACGGGUAGUACAACUACAAUUGUGGAUUGUACAUUACCUUAUGUAUGUAAGCGUAUUACCGGUGGAGUUCUAAUAUAAUAAUGGUACUUAUGUAUUGUUAUAUAUACCUCCUAUUUAAACCUACUUCGGUGCUCUUUACCGAGUGCUGAUGUGGGCCGGUACAAUUACUUUGAACAAAUUAGAGUGCUUAAAGCAGGCUCCAAAUGCCUGAAUAUUCUGUGCAUGGAAUAAUGAAAUAAGACUUCUGAUCUACUUUCAUUGGUUUUUAGAUCAAGAGGAAAUGAUAAAUAGAAGCAGUUUGGGGGCAUUAGUAUUACGACGCGAGAGGU
RNAcentral lists this ribosomal RNA (355 nucleotides) under Philhelius pedissequus. RNAcentral describes it as "SSU rRNA". It matches the Rfam family "Eukaryotic small subunit ribosomal RNA", at positions 625 to 912 of the family's 1831-position model. The record is from RNAcentral. Lineage: Eukaryota; Metazoa; Arthropoda; Insecta; Diptera; Syrphidae.